GAUGAACGCUGGCGGCGUGCCUAAUACAUGCAAGUCGAGCGAACGGACGAGAAGCUUGCUUUUCUGAUGUUAGCGGCGGACGGGUGAGUAACACGUGGAUAACCUACCUAUAAGACUGGGAUAACUUCGGGAAACCGGAGCUAAUACCGGAUAAUAUUUUGAACCGCAUGGUUCAAAAGUGAAAGACGGUCUUGCUGUCACUUAUAGAUGGAUCCGCGCUGCAUUAGCUAGUUGGUAAGGUAACGGCUUACCAAGGCAACGAUGCAUAGCCGACCUGAGAGGGGGAUCGGCCACACUGGAACUGGGACACGGGCCAGACUCCUAAGGGAGGCAGCAGUAGGGAAUCUUUCCCAAUGGGGGAAAGCCUGACGGAGCAACCCCGCGUGAGUGAUGAAGGUCUUCGGAUCGUAAAACUCUGUUAUUAGGGAAGAAAAAAUGUGUAAGUAACUUGGCACGUCUUGACGGUACCUAAUCAGAAAGCCACGGCUAACUACGUG
This 497-nucleotide ribosomal RNA is filed under the name uncultured bacterium. RNAcentral's name for it is "partial 16S ribosomal RNA". It matches the Rfam family "Bacterial small subunit ribosomal RNA", at positions 28 to 507 of the family's 1533-position model. The record is from RNAcentral.